UACGAAGGGGGCUAGCGUUGUUCGGAAUUACUGGGCGUAAAGCGCACGUAGGCGGAUCGAUCAGUCAGGGGUGAAAUCCCAGAGCUCAACUCUGGAACUGCCUUUGAUACUGUCGAUCUGGAGUAUGGAAGAGGUGAGUGGAAUUCCGAGUGUAGAGGUGAAAUUCGUAGAUAUCUGGAGGAACACCGGUGGCGAAGGCGGCUCACUGGUCCGGUACUGACGCUGAGGUGCGAAAGCGUGGGGAGCAAACAGG
Molecule: ribosomal RNA, 253 nt
Filed under: uncultured bacterium
Lineage: Bacteria
Description: partial 16S ribosomal RNA
Rfam family: Bacterial small subunit ribosomal RNA
Source: RNAcentral